GUCCACGCCGUAAACGUUGGGCGCUAGGUGUGGGAACCUUCCACGUUCUCCGUGCCGUAGCUAACGCAUUAAGCGCCCCGCCUGGGGAGUACGGCCGCAAGGCUAAACUCAAAGGAAUUGACGGGGCCCGCACAAGCGGCGGAGCAUGCGGCUUAAUUCGAUGCAACGCGAAGAACCUUACCUAGGCUUGACAUGUAUGGAAAUCUCACAGAGAUGUGAGGUCCGCAAGGGUCAUACACAGGUGGUGCAUGGCUGUCGU
RNAcentral lists this ribosomal RNA (259 nucleotides) under uncultured bacterium. RNAcentral describes it as "partial 16S ribosomal RNA". It matches the Rfam family "Bacterial small subunit ribosomal RNA", at positions 793 to 1055 of the family's 1533-position model. The record is from RNAcentral.